RNAcentral lists this long non-coding RNA (346 nucleotides) under Gallus gallus (chicken). RNAcentral's name for it is "long non-coding RNA NONGGAT006791". Lineage: Eukaryota; Metazoa; Chordata; Aves; Galliformes; Phasianidae. The record is from RNAcentral.
CGGCCUGCAGCCGGGGCAGCCCGUUACAGCGCAGUGGGAGGACGAGCCCCCGGUCGGCAGUGGGACUGCGGCGCCCCGCGGCGGUCCCCGCCGCUGCCCCGUUCGGCUGCCGACACAACAGGGGAUUGAAAACAAGUUUCCUCCGAAAAAUGUGGACCUAAUGUCUCAAUCUGUAUGCGUGAACACAACAUUUUUGAUAGCUUUGGAAGCUUUAGGCUGCAUCAGACCAGCAUUUCAGCUGCCAUCCUGGCUCUGUCAUUUCAAAGGAAAAUGCAAGAACUCCCAUAGUGGGUGAAUAUGGAAUAACACUGAAGAGGAAGCUUUAUGUUUUAAACCUCCUGUAAUU